GAUGAACGCUGGCUACAGGCUUAACACAUGCAAGUCGAGCGGAAACGACGGGGAAGCUUGCUUCCCGGGCGUCGACCGGCGCACGGUUGCGCAACGCGUACCCAACCUGCCCCUGAGUGAGGGUUCACGCGUCGAAAGUCAGCCUAAUACCUCAUCGCAUCGUCUGCGGGCAUCCUACGACGAUUACAGAUUUUCUCGGUCAGAGAUGGGGAUGCGUAUGUUUAGCUUGUUGGCGGGGUAACGGCCCACCAAGGCGACGAUCAGUAGGGGUUCUGAGAGGAAGGUCCCCCACAUUGGAACUGAGACACGGGCCAAACUCCUACGGGAGGCAGCAGUGGGGAAUAUUGGUCAAUGGGCGAGAGACUGAACCAGCCAAGCAGCGUGCAGGAUGACGGCCCUCUGGGUUGUAAACUGCUUUUAUGCGGGGAUAAAGUGCGCGACGUGGCCUUAAUGGCAGUAACCGCAUAAAUAAGGACCGCCUAAUACCGU
Molecule: ribosomal RNA, 489 nt
Filed under: uncultured bacterium
Lineage: Bacteria
Description: partial 16S ribosomal RNA
Rfam family: Bacterial small subunit ribosomal RNA
Source: RNAcentral